RNAcentral lists this long non-coding RNA (588 nucleotides) under Bos taurus (domestic cattle). RNAcentral's name for it is "long non-coding RNA NONBTAT025055". Lineage: Eukaryota; Metazoa; Chordata; Mammalia; Artiodactyla; Bovidae. The record is from RNAcentral.
UAGAGCUGUCUCCCCACAGAAAAAAGAAAUCAAAUGCUAAGCAUCAGCAUAAUGUGUUCACAUAUGGACAGAUUCUCCAUUAGCAAAAAACCCAGGUAUUCUGUUUCCAGUGAGACAUUGUAGCUAGGCUGCACCCAAUCUGUGAAAAGCACAAGCUGCCUGUGAACACUUUGUGUGCUUAUUAUCAGUAUUUAAGACACAUCUGCUUAUCCUCACUGUCACCUGUCUGCUCCUAAGAAAAAGUAUCUGAGGGCUACCCUUUAUUUGAAAGUCAAAUGUAUUUCUGUGUCUUUGCUACAUCAAUUUUACUUAAAAGACUUAAUUCUCCAAAGCCAAAAUGACAAAAUCCACAGCUUAGAGUCAUUUAUUAAAAUUUAAACCCUUGAUUUAAAUGAAGAAAGCUGUUAGGGGAUCCUGUAGUCCGUGAUUUGAAGACAAUUAUUUAUUCUGCAGGGAUAAUAGUGAUAAUUUAAAAUGUUCCCUCUUUGCCUUUAAUAGAUAGUAACUAUAAUCAUAGAAUUUCUUCUAAAGUCUUUUUCUGCUUUUUGGCAAACUACAUAGCAGAUAUAAACCUACCUCUUCCCCAAA